RNAcentral lists this ribosomal RNA (771 nucleotides) under uncultured bacterium. RNAcentral's name for it is "bacterial SSU rRNA". It matches the Rfam family "Bacterial small subunit ribosomal RNA", at positions 97 to 869 of the family's 1533-position model. The record is from RNAcentral.
GGCGCACGGGGUGAGUAACACGUAUCCAACCUACCGGUUAUUCCGGGAUAGCCUUUCGAAAGAAAGAUUAAUACCGGAUAGUAUAACGAGAAGGCAUCUUCUUGUUAUUAAAGAAUUUCGAUAACCGAUGGGGAUGCGUUCCAUUAGUUUGUUGGCGGGGUAACGGCCCACCAAGACAUCGAUGGAUAGGGGUUCUGAGAGGAAGGUCCCCCACAUUGGAACUGAGACACGGUCCAAACUCCUACGGGAGGCAGCAGUGAGGAAUAUUGGUCAAUGGACGAGAGUCUGAACCAGCCAAGUAGCGUGAAGGAUGACUGCCCUAUGGGUUGUAAACUUCUUUUAUAUGGGAAUAAAGUGAGCCACGUGUGGCUUUUUGUAUGUACCAUACGAAUAAGGAUCGGCUAACUCCGUGCCAGCAGCCGCGGUAAUACGGAGGAUCCGAGCGUUAUCCGGAUUUAUUGGGUUUAAAGGGAGCGUAGGCGGACUAUUAAGUCAGCUGUGAAAGUUUGCGGCUCAACCGUAAAAUUGCAGUUGAUACUGGUCGUCUUGAGUGCAGUAGAGGUAGGCGGAAUUCGUGGUGUAGCGGUGAAAUGCUUAGAUAUCACGAAGAACUCCGAUUGCGAAGGCAGCUUACUGGACUGUAACUGACGCUGAUGCUCGAAAGUGUGGGUAUCAAACAGGAUUAGAUACCCUGGUAGUCCACACAGUAAACGAUGAAUACUCGCUGUUUGCGAUAUACGGCAAGCGGCCAAGCGAAAGCAUUAAGUAUUC